UGUUCAGCAGUCGCAGUAAGGAAAUUGGUAUGUCGCCAGCUCGCCACCGCCGCUUCCUCCCGACGCAGCCCUGCCUGCUCCGACGGCCGUAUGCCUCCUCCUCUCAUCGGCCCUCGAGGCCUCUCCCAUUGGUCUCGUCGCACUACGGCACCAGUGCCCUUCAACCUCCUCGACCCAUCCGCCGCCUCCUUGAUAACCAGAUCUGGGUAUAUCGUCAGGCGGCAUCGUUUCCCCGAUCUGCCUCCUCCCGCGACAGGACGAACCCUAGGUGUGUCGCCGCCGCCCUCGCCGUCCCUCGCAUGAUCGCAUCGAUCCCCUGCACCCCCACCAUGCUCGCUCAGUCCUAACAUCUCUCCUCUCUCGUGAUCUCGAUCAACCUUGGGAGAGCUUAUGUGCGCCGCCACCACCGCCUCUUAGCGGUAGGUCUCCUGCUUCUCUUGCACAUUCUCCCCAUCACACCAAUCUCCUCUGAUCCCGUUGCUCUCUCCAACUCCCUGAAAACACACUGCAUCGCCAUCUGCCCGCUACAGAGGUCAAGAACAAGGUCACUGAGGGGAGCCGCAUAUGAGUUUGCCGGGGAGAAGAUGGCGAGGAAACUCCAUCCAAGAAGGCUGGUCUGGAGGAUCCUACGCCCAGGAGACCAGGACUGUAGGACAUCAAGGGACUUCAUUGCCACACUGCAAGCGCAAAAAGGAGAAGAAGGGCAUUGUGGAUGCAGAUAAGAAGGCACAAAGGAAGAAAGGAGGCAUGCAUGUCACUAAGUUGAAAGGGCUGGAUCAGAAAAUCGAAACGCAAGAAGUGCGCAUGCAAAGAUUUUGAUUUGCUUAGCUUGUUCCAGUAACUGAUCUAUUUCUUCAAAACCAAUUGAACUGGUGAAGUUCAUGCCUUAGGAAAACGGGUUCUACGCUGAGAAAUGGCCUUCAGAUAUUGCAAAGAAGAAAUUAUUAUGUGUCCAUUGUUUCCAGGAUAUGUUUCCUCGAGAGCCCUUUUGAGCAACUUGGAUAACUGGGAGUAUAUCUGAAUUGAAUACGAUGAUCAAAAUUUAAAGAUCACGUCCAGACCAUUCCAUGUAUGCCGGCAAUGAUGAUGCUGGCUAGCAAAGUGGUUGGCCACAAAUUGCCAAGCUCUAAUGAUACUAGGCUAUAACUUGCAGCAUAUGUUAGCGGAAGCUGAUAGGUUUCCUCAUCCUGAAAUGACGCUGGCAGAACUCGGGGUGGAGGAUGAGGAUGAGACGUUUUUGAACAGCAGCCUUCCUGGCCUUCUACGCCUCCGCCGAGAUUGCCUGUAACAAAUUGUGCUGAGGAGGAGCGUGGAAGCAGUAGGGGAAGCAGUACCUCUUGAGGGACAUCUCAAUUCUCAGCAGCCAGAGACGAGGUGAUCCUGGUGAACCCUAAAAUCAUCUUUGGUGGUCUUGGGGAUUUCGUGCGUGUGGAUUUCCUUGCCUUGAAUCCAAACGAGAACGCACAUGGCCAAUGAAAGAUUUCCAUCGAAACCAUUGCCCGUCGUAUGAGAUCAACUGAUCAAGGAUGAAGCAUCGUAGGACGAUGGCAUAUGAAGUGUGUGGUGGAGUAGUGUAUUGUAUCCGUGCAUUCUAUGACCAUUUAAACUUGCAAUUUGAUAGCUGUGUAGUGUGAAAACGAAGUACAGUCGAUUGGAAAUGCACACGAUAGUUUUUCCUA
Brachypodium distachyon (stiff brome) is the source of this 1679-nucleotide long non-coding RNA. RefSeq lists it as uncharacterized. Lineage: Eukaryota; Viridiplantae; Streptophyta; Magnoliopsida; Poales; Poaceae. The transcript is spliced from 9 exons. The record is from RefSeq and is a predicted model, not a curated record.